Molecule: ribosomal RNA, 600 nt
Filed under: Pseudomonas aeruginosa
Lineage: Bacteria; Pseudomonadati; Pseudomonadota; Gammaproteobacteria; Pseudomonadales; Pseudomonadaceae
Description: bacterial SSU rRNA
Rfam family: Bacterial small subunit ribosomal RNA
Source: RNAcentral
UCUGCCUGGUAGUGGGGGAUAACGUCCGGAAACGGGCGCUAAUACCGCAUACGUCCUGAGGGAGAAAGUGGGGGAUCUUCGGACCUCACGCUAUCAGAUGAGCCUAGGUCGGAUUAGCUAGUUGGUGGGGUAAAGGCCUACCAAGGCGACGAUCCGUAACUGGUCUGAGAGGAUGAUCAGUCACACUGGAACUGAGACACGGUCCAGACUCCUACGGGAGGCAGCAGUGGGGAAUAUUGGACAAUGGGCGAAAGCCUGAUCCAGCCAUGCCGCGUGUGUGAAGAAGGUCUUCGGAUUGUAAAGCACUUUAAGUUGGGAGGAAGGGCAGUAAGUUAAUACCUUGCUGUUUUGACGUUACCAACAGAAUAAGCACCGGCUAACUUCGUGCCAGCAGCCGCGGUAAUACGAAGGGUGCAAGCGUUAAUCGGAAUUACUGGGCGUAAAGCGCGCGUAGGUGGUUCAGCAAGUUGGAUGUGAAAUCCCCGGGCUCAACCUGGGAACUGCAUCCAAAACUACUGAGCUAGAGUACGGUAGAGGGUGGUGGAAUUUCCUGUGUAGCGGUGAAAUGCGUAGAUAUAGGAAGGAACACCAGUGGCGAAG